Molecule: ribosomal RNA, 830 nt
Filed under: uncultured bacterium
Lineage: Bacteria
Description: bacterial SSU rRNA
Rfam family: Bacterial small subunit ribosomal RNA
Source: RNAcentral
ACGGGAUUUGUAUGGUGCUUGCACCAUGUAAUGAGAGUAGCGCACUGGUGAGUAACACGUGGGAACAUACCUUGAAGUGGGGGACAACAGUUGGAAACGACUGCUAAUACCGCAUAAUCCCUGAGGGGGAAAGAUUUAUCGCUUUAAGAUUGGCCCGCGGAAGAUUAGGUAGUUGGUGGGGUAAAGGCCUACCAAGCCGACGAUCUAUAGCUGGUCUGAGAGGACGAACAGCCACAUUGGAACUGAGACACGGUCCAGACUCCUACGGGAGGCAGCAGUGAGGAAUAUUGGGCAAUGGAGGAAACUCUGACCCAGCCAUGCCGCGUGAGUGAAGAAGGUUUUCGAAUUGUAAAGCUCUUUCGGAUGGGACGAUGAUGACGGUACCAUCUAAAGAAGCCCCGGCAAACUUCGUGCCAGCAGCCGCGGUAAUACGAAGGGGGCAAGCGUUGUUCGGAAUUACUGGGCGUAAAGGGUGUGUAGGCGGAUUUGUAAGAUAGUGGUGAAAUACCUGAGCUCAACUUAGGAAUUGCCAUUAUAACUAUAGAUCUGGAGUGACAGAGAGGAUAUUGGAAUACCCAGUGUAGAGGUGAAAUUCGUAGAUAUUGGGUAGAACACCAGUGGCGAAGGCGAGUAUCUGGCUGUCAACUGACGCUGAGGCACGAAAGCAUGGGGAUCAAACAGGAUUAGAUACCCUGGUAGUCCAUGCUGUAAACGAUGAAUGCUAGUUGUCGGCAAAAGCCGGUGACGCAGUUAACGCGAUAAGCAUUCCGCCUGGGGAGUACGGUCGCAAGAUUAAAACUCAAAGGAAUUGACGGGGACCCGCACAAGCG